Molecule: unclassified non-coding RNA, 1462 nt
Filed under: uncultured fungus
Lineage: Eukaryota; Fungi
Description: sequence contains 18S rRNA gene, ITS1, 5.8S rRNA gene, ITS2, 28S rRNA gene
Rfam family: Eukaryotic large subunit ribosomal RNA (bases 526-1462)
Source: RNAcentral
GGAAGGAUCAUUACCGAGAUUUUUUCUGGACUUGUUCUAGAAAUCUCCCACCCUAUGUGUUUUAACGAAUCAAUUACUUUGGUGAAGCGUCUGCGACGUGCUGAGAGGCAUGGAGUGGCCAUCGGCUUGGUAGCAAGCGGGUGUGUCUUUGCCAAAGGACCACAACUCUAUAAAUUUUAUAAUGUCUGAGUUUAUACAUAUAAAUAAACAAAACUUUCAACAACGGAUCUCUUGGUUCUGGCAUCGAUGAAGAACGCAGCGAAAUGCGAUAAGUAAUGUGAAUUGCAGAAUUCAGCGAAUCAUCGAAUUUUUGAACGCACAUUGCGCCUCGGAGUAUUCUCCGAGGCAUACCUGUUCGAGCGUCGUUUAGACCAUAAGGCAUUUGCCUUGCGUUGACUUUUCUGGAGUAGUAUCCAGGAGUCUAAACAUGUUGGCGUCGUAGUUUGACCAAGACACACACAAGUGAGACUGGCGCAGACGAUACGGCUUGCCUUGAACUAGCAGUCUCGUUUUGAGACGUAGGUUCGACCUCGAAUCAGGUAAGACUACCCGCUGAACUUAGGCAUAUCAAUAAGCGGAGGAAAAGAAACCAACAGGGAUUGCCCCAGUAACGGCGAGUGAAGCGGCAAAAGCUCAAAUUUGAAAUCUGGUCUAUGACCCGAGUUGUAAUUUGUAGAGGAAUGUUCGGCGACGCCUAGGUCUGAGUCUUCUGGAAGGAAGCGCCUUUGAGGGUGAGAGCCCCGUAGGACUGAUGGCUGAACCAUGUGUACAUCCUUCGACGAGUCGAGUUGUUUGGGAAUGCAGCUCAAAACGGGUGGUAAAUUCCAUCUAAAGCUAAAUAUUGGCCAGAGACCGAUAGCGCACAAGUAGAGUGAUCGAAAGAUGAAAAGCACUUUGGAAAGAGAGUGAAACAGUACGUGAAAUUGUUGAAAGGGAAGCGCUAGCGACCAGAUUUGCAGAUGACAUUCAGCGGUUCGCGUGGACCGUGUACUUUGUCUUUUUUCUUGCCAGCAUCAGUUUCCGGGGUUGGAUAAAAGCGUUGGGAACGUAGCUUUGCUUCGGCAGAGUGUUAUAGCCCUUUGCAGAAUACAGCCACUGGAGACUGAGGAACGCCUUUUUGUAGGAUGCUGGCGUAAUGGUUGCUAGCGGCCCGUCUUGAAACACGGACCAAGGAGUCUAACAUCCGUGCGAGUGUUUGGGUGUCAAACCCGCUCGCGAAAUGAAAGUGAACGUUGGUGAGAGUCUGUAAAAAGAUGCAUCAUCGACCGAUCCUGAUGUCCUCGGAAGGAUUUGAGUAAGAGCACGGCUGUUGGGACCCGAAAGAUGGUGAACUAUGCGUGAAUAGGGCGAAGCCAGAGGAAACUCUGGUGGAGGCUCGCAGCGGUUCUGACGUGCAAAUCGAUCGUCGAAUUUGCGUAUAGGGGCGAAAGACUUAUCGAACCAUCUAGUAGCUGGUUCCUGC